Long non-coding RNA from Pseudophryne corroboree (corroboree frog), 607 nucleotides. RefSeq lists it as uncharacterized. The record is from RefSeq and is a predicted model, not a curated record. The transcript is spliced from 3 exons. NCBI's taxonomy places the organism in Eukaryota, Metazoa, Chordata, Amphibia, Anura, Myobatrachidae.
GCCCUGCACCCUCAGUGACAGUUGGUGACUGUUGGUGAAGUGUGCUGACAACAAUGGCGCACAGCUGCAGUGCUGUGCGCUACCUUAUGAAGACUGAAAGUCUUCUGCCGCCUGUUUCUGGACUCUGGACCUCUUCAACUUCGGCAUCUGCAAGGGGGGUCGGCGGCACGGCUCCGGGACGAACCCCAGGGUGAGACCUGUGUUCCGACUCCCUCUGGAGCUAAUGGUGUCCAGUAGCCUAAGAAGCAAAUCCAUCCUGCACGCAGUUACUGGAGAGCAACAAAGAUUGCCGUGCGUUCCAGGGGUCAUGUGAUGAAGAAGACAGACUUUAUUGGAUGUGGAGAACAUGCGUUGGAAUGUGCGUUAACAUAGGAGCAUGUGAGUUUCAUCUGAUAAUUCAGGAGGGUGGAGGAAAAGAUCUUGAAGUAGGCCCAUGUAACAAAGGAAACUCGGAAGAGUAAUUCACUACACUAAUUAAAGCACUGGUGAAGGAUUUAUACAAAGGACACUAGUCUGAUUAUUUGGCACGGUGGUGUUAAUAUUGCGCUACUGUGCUUUUUUAUACAUUUUUGUACGGAGGGUCCAUUGGUAUUUUGCAAGUGGAACG